This 497-nucleotide ribosomal RNA is filed under the name uncultured bacterium. RNAcentral describes it as "partial 16S ribosomal RNA". It matches the Rfam family "Bacterial small subunit ribosomal RNA", at positions 28 to 507 of the family's 1533-position model. The record is from RNAcentral.
GACGAACGCUGGCGGCGUGCCUAAUACAUGCAAGUUGAGCGCUGAAGGUUGGUACUUGUACCAACUGGAUGAGCAGCGAACGGGUGAGUAACGCGUGGGGAAUCUGCCUUUGAGCGGGGGACAACAUUUGGAAACGAAUGCUAAUACCGCAUAAAAACUUUAAACACAAGUUUUAAGUUUGAAAGAUGCAAUUGCAUCACUCAAAGAUGAUCCCGCGUUGUAUUAGCUAGUUGGUGAGGUAAAGGCUCACCAAGGCGAUGAUACAUAGCCGACCUGAGAGGGUGAUCGGCCCCAUUGGGACUGAGACACGGCCCAAACUCCUACGGGAGGCAGCAGUAGGGAAUCUUCGGCCAUGGACGAAAGUCUGACCGAGCAACGCCGCGUGAGUGAAGAAGGUUUUCGGAUCGUAAAACUCUGUUGGUAGAGAAGAACGUUGGUGAGAGUGGAAAGCUCAUCAAGUGACGGUAACUACCCAGAAAGGGACGGCUAACUACGUG